AAGACGUGUUGAAAUUUUGACGAGAGAUUAAAAUGAAAAGUAACCAGAGCGCAUCAGAUGUGUAAAAUUUAAUUAUAUGAAAUGAUUUAAAUGACCAAUCCAAACAUUAAUUACAGAUGUAUUAUUAGAAAAGAAUAUAAACUGAACGAACUUAAGUCUUACUUUUUAUUAGACAAACGGAUAUUUCAAGGACUAAAAACUUUCACUUUAUUCAAUGGAAAAGACCCUAACUGGAUUAAGAAGCGGAUAAUUUAUGAACGAGUUUGAAGGCAUAUGGUUUAGAAAUGAUUGAUCAGAUGAUGAUUAUGCUUAUAGCCAUUCUUUUGCCUGUGGCGUUGUUUUUGCUGCUCUUGGUGUACUUUAACGAUGAACUAGAACAACAACCACCAUGCCAACGGGGAGCCCGACCUGGUGCCACUCUACUUGCUGUACGACAAGAGCUCCCAGCCUGUUAUGGCAACACAGGGACGUCGAAUACAGCAUUUUCUUCGGAUACGGGACAAUUUCAUGGCACCCGUACGUGUAUUAAUACUGGUGUGACACAUCCACCAAACACAUACAGCAACCCAAACACACCCACUGAUGUGAAUGGCACGAGUUCGGCUGAGCAUCCAACAACUGCAAGGAAACCCGAGCCAAAGCAACCUGGAGAAACCGCGCUAAAGACGGACGGACAGCCGUCCAGAACAAACCAUAGCGACGAACCAUCUUCUGUGAAUGGUCAAGGAACGGUAGAUCAACAGAAAGACACUAAUUUGUCUCCAGUACAACCUGAUGCAAAGGAAAUUGAACCUUCGGCACCAUACCGUGAAAAUUUAAUCUAAAGAUAACGCGAUUUACGGUCAUGGAUAAUUUAUCGCUUGUUAAGUGUAAAUGUUCGGACAUCAUUUUAAAUGUCUUACAUGUACUUGCCAGAAAUUUAUUAAUAACAGUUAUCCUGCAUUAUUCCGGUUAACGGGGUUUCUGUCAAUUUAUAUAACUUAUUUUUAAAUAAGUAUUUAUGUGAAUUCGAGUUGCGGUAAUUAACGUGCAGUUAUACACUUGAACCUGAUAAACUUUCAAUUGACACAGAAUGUCAUACUCAGUGUUUCGAUUGAUUAGAAAUGAAAUGAAAUGAAAUGGAGUUUAACGUUCUACUGUUCUGCACCUAACCUGGGCUAAUGAAGACGGGCAUACGCCAUACAGUGUGCUAUGAGGGAAAUUUUGCCCGGACAGCGGCACUACGGCCUACUCUUAUAUCGAAUUCCAACUGCCAAGGGAUCUUUGACCUGCACGCCAAUGUGUACACGGGACCUCGGUUUUUCGUCCCAUCCGAACGACUAGACAGCUUUCCUUGUCAGCCCCUCCGUCCUGCAUUACUGACAAGGGAGAACCACGCCGGAAAAUCUGGAUGAACUUUCUCGGCCAAUGCAGGGAUCGAACACCCGAUCUCCAGGCUAGCGAGCUGGCGUCUUACCCACUUAGCCACGAUUGAUUAGACCUAAUCCCACUGGAAAUUUCUGGAGCUUCGGGAAUAUGCAGAAUAUACGACUAUUCGAGGAUUGUGUUUUCUUAAAGUUUAAUAUCGGUGCACAAAUGAAUUAAUUAAAAAUCUGUCGAGCGGAUCGAGCAAUGUCAUUUUUGUGCCUAUAUGAGGAUGUGUUAGGUGACACAGUUAUCAAAAAUAGUGCCUCUUUCUUUCAACAUUACCGAAUCCUAUGUAGUUGUACUGUUAUGACCGGUUGAAAUUGGAUACAGAGAUUUCAUAGAAUUUCCGUGGGCCUGUUUAUAAUGAUAAUUUCUAUUUAAGAUUAUAGGUUGUUUUAAACAAAACUGUGUAGACAAAAUGAGUCAUCGAGCAUUUCCGAAUAUUAAGUGACCUGGCAAAAUUCUAUUAAAGUAUUAAAGCUAGGGUUACACAAUAAUGGUGAUGAUGUAAAGCCUACAUACAUUUAAUUCGACAAAAAGGCCAGAAAGUGGGCCAUAACGCCAUACACACUAAAUUAACUGAAGUAUGACACGAACAGAUUCAUUUUGAAAUAUUAGAUGUGUAUCGAAUGAAUGAAGAGCAAAUAUAUUAUUACUCUAUGAUGCUCUUAUGUUUACUUUUCAGAACAUUUGUGUGGAAAGUCAUUGUUCGAUAUUAAAAUGUAUUCAUAAAGGAA
This is a long non-coding RNA of Patella vulgata (common limpet), 2144 nucleotides long. RefSeq lists it as uncharacterized. Lineage: Eukaryota; Metazoa; Mollusca; Gastropoda; Patellidae. The record is from RefSeq and is a predicted model, not a curated record. The transcript is spliced from 2 exons.